Molecule: ribosomal RNA, 253 nt
Filed under: uncultured bacterium
Lineage: Bacteria
Description: partial 16S ribosomal RNA
Rfam family: Bacterial small subunit ribosomal RNA
Source: RNAcentral
UACGGGGGGGGCAAGCGUUGUUCGGAAUUACUGGGCGUAAAGGGUUUGUAGGUGGCCCGCUAAGUCACACGUGAAAUCCCUCAGCUUAACUGGGGAACUGCGUGUGAGACUGGCAGGCUCGAGGGCGGGAGAGGAACGCGGAAUUCCAGGUGUAGCGGUGAAAUGCGUAGAUAUCUGGAGGAACACCGGUGGCGAAGGCGGCGUUCUGGACUGUCUCUGACACUGAAGAACGAAAGCCAGGGGAGCAAACGGG